AUUGAACACUGGCGGCAUGCCUUACACAUGCAAGUCGAACGGUAACGGGUCCUUCGGGAUGCCGACGAGUGGCGAACGGGUGAGUAAUAUAUCGGAACGUGCCCAGUAGUGGGGGAUAACUGCUCGAAAGAGCAGCUAAUACCGCAUACGACCUGAGGGUGAAAGGGGGGGAUCGCAAGACCUCUCGCUAUUGGAGCGGCCGAUAUCAGAUUAGCUAGUUGGUGGGGUAAAGGCCUACCAAGGCAACGAUCUGUAGUUGGUCUGAGAGGACGACCAGCCACACUGGGACUGAGACACGGCCCAGACUCCUACGGGAGGCAGCAGUGGGGAAUUUUGGACAAUGGGCGCAAGCCUGAUCCAGCAAUGCCGCGUGCAGGAAGAAGGCCUUCGGGUUGUAAACUGCUUUUGUCGGGGAAGAAAUCUUCUGGGCUAAUACCCCGGGAGGAUGACGGUACCUGAAGAAUAAGCACCGGCUAACUACGUGCCAGCAGCCGCGGUAAUACGUAGGGUGCGAGCGUUAAUCGGAAUUACUGGGCGUAAAGCGUGCGCAGGCGGCUUUGCAAGACAGAUGUGAAAUCCCCGGGCUCAACCUGGGAACUGCAUUUGUGACUGCAAGGCUAGAGUACGGCAGAGGGGGAUGGAAUUCCGCGUGUAGCAGUGAAAUGCGUAGAUAUGCGGAGGAACGCCAAUGGCGAAGGCAAUCCCCUGGGCCUGUACUGACGCUCAUGCACGAAAGCGUGGGGAGCAAACAGGAUUAGAUACCCUGGUAGUCCACGCCCUAAACGAUGUCAACUGGUUGUUGGACGGCUUGCUGUUCAGUAACGAAGCUAACGCGUGAAGUUGACCGCCUGGGGAGUACGGCCGCAAGGUUGAAACUCGAAGGAAUUGACGGGGACCCGCACAAGCGGUGGAUGAUGUGGUUUAAUUCGAUGCAACGCGAAAAACCUUACCUACCCUUGACAUGUCAAGAAUUCUGCAGAGAUGUGGAAGUGCUCGAAAGAGAACUUGAACACAGGUGCUGCAUGGCCGUCGUCAGCUCGUGUCGUGAGAUGUUGGGUUAAGUCCCGCAACGAGCGCAACCCUUGUCAUUAGUUGCUACGCAAGAGCACUCUAAUGAGACUGCCGGUGACAAACCGGAGGAAGGUGGGGAUGACGUCAGGUCCUCAUGGCCCUUAUGGGUAGGGCUACACACGUCAUACAAUGGCCGGUACAGAGGGCUGCCAACCCGCGAGGGGGAGCCAAUCCCAGAAAACCGGUCGUAGUCCGGAUCGUAGUCUGCAACUCGACUGCGUGAAGUCGGAAUCGCUAGUAAUCGCGGAUCAGCUUGCCGCGGUGAAUACGUUCCCGAGUCU
RNAcentral lists this ribosomal RNA (1352 nucleotides) under uncultured bacterium. RNAcentral describes it as "bacterial SSU rRNA". It matches the Rfam family "Bacterial small subunit ribosomal RNA", at positions 28 to 1381 of the family's 1533-position model. The record is from RNAcentral.